Long non-coding RNA from Papaver somniferum (opium poppy), 1822 nucleotides. RefSeq lists it as uncharacterized. The record is from RefSeq and is a predicted model, not a curated record. Lineage: Eukaryota; Viridiplantae; Streptophyta; Magnoliopsida; Ranunculales; Papaveraceae. The transcript has 5 exons.
ACCGGCCAUCAUUUUGACGCAGCUUCUUUCUUCUAAUGUUGUUUGCUUUGCAGCUAUUUUCUAAAUCGAUUGGCGUUGUAAAUUUUUUUUCAAUGGGAUUUCUAAUAGUAUGACGACAUUAAAAAAUUGGUAAAAUUGUUCGUCUCUUGAUUUUUUUUAUUUUUUUUUCUGAAUUUAGUGAUCUAUAUAUUUUACUCUCUGAUUGUUAUCUACUCAACUCAUAUAUUCUGUUCUUGGAUGAUUCCCCGUAAAUAGGAUUUCUUAAUUAGGUAAAAAUAUAUGAUUUGUCCGGAAUAGAUACUCCGUGAUAUUUUCCUAUAUAGAACGGCCAAGCAAACCAAGUUCCCUCUCCUUUUCCUCCCUGUUGGCACUUUGUAAUGGCUGGAAAAAACUCAUGCUAGCCUUCUCCUUCAGAAGCAACACGAAGAUUUUCUGUUUCCACAUGCUGAUUAUGCAGACACGCAACAUAUAGAUAUGAGAAGAAUGUAAAGUUGUUGUCUCAACGGGUCGAAGUGCAACAGAGCUUAUUCGGUCGGGCUAAAUAUUGUUAUCGAUUCGAGAGGCAGUAACAGUUUUUUACCACUCUGCAUCCGUUCGAUGCAAAAGCCAAACCCAAUUGUACAUGUUGUUUCUCUUCCUGUUUUUUUUUUUUCCUCUUGUGGUUUAUGAUUUUUUUUUGUCUGAUCUAUUUUGUUUUUUACUUUUCUGAUACCGUCGAUCAGGCACCUAUUGUAAACUUUUUGUUGCUUGAUCAUGCACCUGUAACUAGGCAUACAUGGAGCAAUAUCAAGGUAUAAACUUAUUGAUUCUUGCAAAUAUUGUUGUGGUAUCAAACACCACAAUUGUUUUCUAUUUUGCAGGGAUCUUAUUGAUGCAUCGAAAAGAGUUUUGCAACUCUUAUUAUUGUUUAUCGCUGCUUCACCGGCUGAAUCAGGAAAGUUGAAAAUCGAGAGGUGAAAUUGAGGUAUGGCUUGAGGAAAUUUAAAUCGUGAGGAUGUAUAAAAUAAGAAGGAGUUGAUGUUGCUGACAAAUUUGCUGAAUUAAGUGCUACUGAAAUUGAAGGAGGAGAGGAGGGUAUCUAGAGAGUUGUCUUGCCAGAUACAUGAUGAAGGGAAAAAGUUCUCUUAUCAGACUGGUGUUAAAGUCGUUGUUGCAUAUGGUGGAGCACCGAUGCACAAGCAGGGAUGUCAUUCAUGCUAGAGAUUUAGAACACCAGCAGGCAUGGUCUCGAGUUCAAAGUCCAUAAUCUUAACUGGAUGAACAUGGCUUGGAGAUCUGGUUUACAAUCUCCUAUGCGUUCAAGAGAUGCAGCUCCAAUACAGACACCGCCUGUCGUUGAGCCUUGGUGCCGAGAUAUUCUUAGUUUGUCUACGGAAUGUCAACUGAUAGUGCAUGACUUUUCACAAAAUCUCAAGGAUGUGGUGCAGCAGCAACAAGUAACAACUUCUGUAACAGAAAGAUUAUUGGUGCACAACAUUUUCCAGCAGCUGCUGUUGCUUAAAUGGUUUUUUCCGUAAACUAAGCAUCUCCUCUUGAUGGUGAUGGGCACGAAAGGUUUUUGUUUGCCUGGGAUUCUCAUCACUGAUACCAGCAAGUCAAUGGUGAGCAGUUACACGAUUCCAAAUUCGAAUCAGCACAGUUGCAUACUAGGGUGAAUGUUCUCAUAUACAUCUUAAUCUUUUUAGAGUGUGUUUUGGAAACUCCAUUUUUGUAACAAACAUCUAUAUCACUGCCAUUUUUUGAAUGUGUGUUUAAGACUAGCAGGUUAACUUGAAUGAAUGUAAAUGUGUUACACUAGUACGUUAAUGCGAAUGUGAAUUAU